UAAAGGUUUGGUCCUAGCCCUUCUAUUAGCCGUCAGUAGGAUUACACAUGCAAGUAUCAGCACCCCGGUGAAGAUGCCCUCUUAAUCACCAACGAUAAAGAGGAGCGGGUAUCAAGCACACUAUACAGUAGCUAAAGACGCCUUGCCUAGCCACACCCCCACGGGAUACAGCAGUGACAAAAAUUAAGCCAUGAACGAAAGUUCGACUAAGCCAUACUAGCCUACAGGGUUGGUAAAUUUCGUGCCAGCCACCGCGGUCAUACGAUUAACCCAAGUUAAUAGACAUACGGCGUAAAACGUGUUAAGGAAAUUACCCACACAAUAAAGUUAAAUCUUGGGCUAUGCUGUAGAAAGCUUUAGCCCAGACAAAAAUAAACCACGAAGGUGACUUUAAAUGAUCCGACUACACGAUAGCUAAGACACAAACUGGGAUUAGAUACCCCACUAUGCUUAGCCCUAAACCUAAGUAGCUAAAUAACGAUGCUACUCGCCAGAGUACUACUAGCAACAGCUUAAAACUCAAAGGACUUGGCGGUGCUUUAUAUCCCUCUAGAGGAGCCUGUUCUGUAAUCGAUAAACCCCGAUAAACCUCACCAACUCUUGCUAAUACAGCCUAUAUACCGCCAUCUUCAGCAAACCCUAAAAAGGAAAUAAAGUAAGCAAAAUCAUAAAACAUAAAAACGUUAGGUCAAGGUGUAGCCUAUGAGUUGGAAAGAAAUGGGCUACAUUUUCUAGUAUAGAACAUCGACGAAAAUUUUCGUGAAACCGGAAAUAGAAGGAGGAUUUAGUAGUAAAUUAAGAACAGAGAGCUUAGUUGAAUUAGGCCAUGAAGCACGCACACACCGCCCGUCACCCUCCUCAAGUAUAAAGAUACAAUGCCCAAUCCUAUUAAUAAAUGUACACACACAUGAGAGGAGAUAAGUCGUAACAAGGUAAGCGUACUGGAA
RNAcentral lists this non-coding RNA (947 nucleotides) under Pteropus vampyrus (large flying fox). Its description in RNAcentral is "partial 12S ribosomal RNA". It matches the Rfam family "Bacterial small subunit ribosomal RNA". The record is from RNAcentral. Lineage: Eukaryota; Metazoa; Chordata; Mammalia; Chiroptera; Pteropodidae.